GUACUCUGACUGUGCAAAGGUAGCAUAAUCAUUUGUUUCUUAAUUGGAAACUAGAAUGAAAGAGUUGACAUAGAAUAAACUUUUUAAUUAAAUAUAUAAAUUGACAAAAAGAUUAAAAGGUCUUAAUAUUUUAGAGGGACGAUAAGACCCUGUGAAAUUUUAUUUACAAUCAUAUUGUAAUAUAAGUAACCAUAAUAUGUUAUAAAUUAAACUGGGGCGGUGAAAAUAACUAAACUAUUUUAAACCUAACAUAUAAGUAUGGGAUUAUAGAACAUAGGUAUACAAAAUUAAACAAAUUACUCCAGGGAUAACAGCACAAUUUCUUUAGAAAGACCAUAUUGGUAAAGAAGCUUGU
This 355-nucleotide ribosomal RNA is filed under the name Stenasellus buili. RNAcentral's name for it is "partial 16S ribosomal RNA". Lineage: Eukaryota; Metazoa; Arthropoda; Malacostraca; Isopoda; Stenasellidae. The record is from RNAcentral.